RNAcentral lists this transfer RNA (72 nucleotides) under Toxocara canis (dog roundworm). It matches the Rfam family "tRNA". From Rfam's summary of the family: Transfer RNA (tRNA) molecules are approximately 80 nucleotides in length. Their secondary structure includes four short double-helical elements and three loops (D, anti-codon, and T loops). Further hydrogen bonds mediate the characteristic L-shaped molecular structure. tRNAs have two regions of fundamental functional importance: the anti-codon, which is responsible for specific mRNA codon recognition, and the 3' end, to which the tRNAs corresponding amino acid is attached (by aminoacyl-tRNA synthetases). tRNAs cope with the degeneracy of the genetic code in two manners: having more than one tRNA (with a specific anti-codon) for a particular amino acid; and 'wobble' base-pairing, i.e. permitting non-standard base-pairing at the 3rd anti-codon position. The record is from Rfam by way of RNAcentral. Lineage: Eukaryota; Metazoa; Nematoda; Chromadorea; Rhabditida; Toxocaridae.
UGGGUAGUAGUUCAGUGAUAGAGCUCACGCUUCGUAUGCGGGGAGACCUGGGUUCGAUCCCCGGCUACUUGC